CCCCGCCCCCGCCGCUCGGGGUCUCACCUCCACCUUGCGCGCAGCCGCGCGGUCCGAAAAGCAUCCGCCGCCCUCAGGGGCCGCGUCCCGCCUCCUCGCGCCGCGUGGUGCCUCCUUCGGUCACCCGGUGUCCUCACCUCAUAGCUCCAGAGCCUCACCGUCCGCGUCCCAGACGCGUCGCUGCCCACGGUGAGCCACCCGGACACCGCCCGGGUCCGGUGGAAGGACACGAAAAGGAGUCCGUGACCGACGGCGGAGGGACACCACGUCGGCAGCUGGCGUGCGCGCUCCCGUCCGGCGCUGGCCUCCGCGGUGACUUCGACGGGAUUUUGUGAGCCAUAAGAUGAACAGCUCUGCACUGCCACACCACACACUCCCUGCCAUGGAGUGCUUCCUGGUCCCAGAGCCCAAAGCAGCAGGGCCUCCUAUUGUGGACCGGAAUCUGCAAAACCUGUUUGCCCUGAAGUUGGAAGACUGACUGUAUGGUGCUUCCCAAGAACACUUGCUGCAAGGCUGAAUUUUUGGAGAAAGACUUUGAGGCUGACCAGACAUGCAGGAGGCUGAUUAGAGACUGCUCUUGGGACAGAGGCCCGUGGAAAAGGAUUGAAGUGGGAGAAGGGGAAUGGGGGGAAGAGAUCUGAGAUGCAAAUCCCCUUGG
Long non-coding RNA from Heterocephalus glaber (naked mole-rat), 658 nucleotides. The record is from Ensembl. Lineage: Eukaryota; Metazoa; Chordata; Mammalia; Rodentia; Bathyergidae.